UCUUUUUAGGGCCACAACCAUGGCAUAUGGAAGUUCUGCCAGGGGCUGAAUCGAACAGUAGCCACUGGCCUAUGCCACAGCCACAGCAAUGUGGGGUCCGAGCCAAGUCUGCAACCUACACCACAGCUCACAGCAAUGGCAGAUCCUUAACGCACUGAGCAAGGCAAGGGAUCGAACUCACUUCCUCAUGGAUACUAGUACAGUUCAUUAUUUCUGAGCCAUGAUGGGAACUCCAUGUAAGAAGCUGAAAUUAAUCACUGAAUUCAUAAGGUUAAUGAUAAGGUUAGAAUCAUCUAAACAAAUGGAUUAGUCUUUGAUCUGAAUAGAGAAGCUUAAAGUAGCUAAGUUAAUCUUUUCUAAAAAGGAAAGACAGCAAAAAUUUUUAAAUACUGGAAAUGAUUCUGGAAAUCACUGCAACUAAUUUCCUGUAGUUAAUGUUUGUGUUUUUUCAUCCCACAGCUGUUAACCAUUUUUGGUUAUAAGUUUGCAAAAACAAAUCACAAAUAAAAAUCAUAAGCAACCAAAACUGCAUUAAAGUUUUUUGCUACAAUCCCAUUUUAUGGUACAUACAUAAUAUUAUCCACUUGAAAUCUAUUAAAGUUUGGAAACAAAUGAAUUCCUACAACUUACUGGGUUUAUUAAGGACUAUAGGGCGGAAAAAAAAAUCUCAGUGACCAACUGUCUGUAUUUCCUCCCAAAUACUUCAAUAAAAAGGAUAGGUGAACUCAUGAGACAAAUAUAAUACAUUGAGAAAAUCGGUUGAAGUCACAAAAACUAAAGCUUCUUUAAAAGAAAACCCAGUUUCUCUUUAACACUGAAUUACUUUUCUUUCCUUCAUAACACCAUCUUUUGGUAAAAGAACUGUCUUACCUUGGCCUUAAUUACUUCUCUUACAUGGUCUUUAACUUACUGCAACUGACUUAAUUCUCUUGAAUUUGUUUUCCUCAAAUUGUACUGUAUAAAUAAUACCAAACAGGAAUAGAUGGCGUGUAAAAAACAUUUUCAGAUAUUCUUCUAAAUGCUUUACUUGCAUUUAUUUAUUUAAUCCUAACAAGAGCCCUAGGAGGCAAUUACCUUUAUUUAUACCUGUUCUUUGGAGUGUGGAAAUUGGAAAACAAAGAUUCAGUAUUUUGUGGCAGACCUAGGAUCUGAUCCCAGUAGUCUAGUUCCAUGCGCUUAACCACAGUGACCCACUAAUUUUUCAAUCAGUGAUCAUCCUUAUAAAACAGUGUACAGGAGUUCCCGUCGUGGCGCAGUGGUUAACGAAUCCGACUAGGAACCAUGAGGUUGCGGGUUCAGUCCCUGCCCUUGCUCAGUGGGUUAACGAUCCGGCGUUGCCGUGAGCUGUGGUGCAGGUUGCAGACGCGGCUCGGAUCCCGCGUUGCUGUGGCUCUGGCGUAGGCCGGUGGCUACAGCUCCGAUUCAACCCCUAGCCUGGGAACCUCCAUAUGCCGCGGGAGCGGCCCAAGAAAUAGCAACAACAACAACAACAACAACAAAGACAAAAGACAAAAACAAAACAAAACAAAAACAAAAAAAAACCAAAAACAAACAAACAAACAAAAAAAACAUAUGCAGAAGUUCCUGGGCCAGGGAUCAAACCUGCACCAUAACAGCAGAUCCUUAACCCACUAAGCCACCAGGGAACUCCUCAGGUUGCUCUUUAGUAGCUAGUGUCCCCCAGUAUUCAUCUGGCCCCUUCACUUGCCCCCUGGCUAUCUCAUCUAUUUCUAAACAUUCAGUCAUUACCUUUCAGGUGAGGCCUCCAAAAAACAACUCAAAAGCAGACCCAAACAUUUGGAGCCAUAAAAUUCAAUCCAAAUGUACAUUAAAAACAAUUACUUCAAACUCACAUUGACCUUGCUGUCUUUUCUUUUUCUUUUCCUUGGCCAUUCUGGUUCUCAACUUCAGCAGUGCCAGCAGUUACCUCCCUUGCUUGAAUCCAUUCCUUCCUUUUAAUUCUCAUUCAUAUACCAUCAUCACUUUCUUUUCUUUUUCUUUCUUUUUUAUGGCUACAAUGACGGCAAAUGGAAAUUCAGAGGCCAGGGACUGAAUCAGAGCUGCAGCUGUGGCCUACGCAGUAGCUACAGCAACACCAGAUCCUAUUUUCCAUUUGGAAUAUCAAAAUAAGUUCCUCACCUCAUUUUGCCAACCAAACUCUAAUAUGACUAACCAAACAGAUCUGCAUGCCAUCUGGACUAUGCCAGUCCCUUCUUUCAUUGAAAGACUACAGUAGUUCCCACUCUUAUUGAAUUACAUAUGAAAGGUGCUUCUUAAUCCAUCUUUCAAGACUAUCUGUGAUCUACAUCCAAGUAAUAACUUCGAGUUUUUAUUUCAUGCUCACAUCCAUUUAUACUCAUGCUGAAGAUUACUUGAAGAUUACUUGCUAUUUGCUUCCAUGUCUUUGUUAAUGCUGUCCUUUACAACUAUCAAAAUCCUACCCAAUCUCAAACCUCCGUGUCAAAGUUCACUCAUCUCAUUUCAUCUCCUGAUUCUCUUAUAAACAGAUGUGGCUUCUUAUACCCUACCUCCAAAUCUUCCCAGUAUUUUGAUGUGCUUCUCUUUUGCAUUUAUCACAAUCUAACUCACUGUAGCUAUUUACACAUGCAUCUUUUCAUCAUAAUAUUCUCUAAAGGAUUGUUGGUAUUUUGAUUAUAAGCACUCUCUUUCAGUCAUCUUUGCAUUCCCUCUUUCUCCCCUCACCAAAGGCCAGCACAUUGCUGUGGCUCAAUAUACACUUCUGGAUUAAAUCAGUGAAGGGUACUUAUUAAUGAAGGGAAAGAAAAAGCUUUUAUCCUCAUUCUAACAGGCAAUGUCUUUUUAUCCUCCAAAUCUUUGUUUCUUUCUUUUUUUUUUUUUUUGGUCUUUUUGCCUUUUCUAGGGCUGUACCCACGGCAUAUGGAAGUUCCCAGGCUAGGGGUC
This 2922-nucleotide long non-coding RNA is filed under the name Sus scrofa (pig). RNAcentral's name for it is "lncRNA (ENSSSCG00060054882.1)". The record is from RNAcentral. Lineage: Eukaryota; Metazoa; Chordata; Mammalia; Artiodactyla; Suidae.